AACGCACAUAGCGCCCGCCGGCCAUUCCGGCGGGCAUGCCUGUCCGAGCGUCGAUGACGCCUUUCGAGCCCCUCUGAUGGGCUCGGUGUUGGGGCGCUAGGGGGCGGUUUCUCGCGAAGCCCCCCCUAGGCCCCCAAGCAAAAGUGCGCGGUCCGGCUGCGGGCCCCGGGUACAGUAACUUCACCGUUAGAUGCCCUGGGAGAAGCAGCUGGGCCUGCCGUAAAACCCCCGACAUAGGGACCCCCGUGCCACGCGCAAGCGGGCGAGGGCGGGACCGCCAUAUGUUGACCUCGGAUCAGGUAGGACUACCCGCUGAACUUAA
Molecule: unclassified non-coding RNA, 322 nt
Filed under: Peniophorella sp.
Lineage: Eukaryota; Fungi; Basidiomycota; Agaricomycetes; Hymenochaetales
Description: partial contains 5.8S ribosomal RNA, internal transcribed spacer 2, and large subunit ribosomal RNA
Source: RNAcentral